Molecule: ribosomal RNA, 265 nt
Filed under: uncultured bacterium
Lineage: Bacteria
Description: partial 16S ribosomal RNA
Rfam family: Bacterial small subunit ribosomal RNA
Source: RNAcentral
GUCCACGCCGUAAACGAUGAAUGCCAGUCGUCGGGUAGCAUGCUAUUCGGUGACACACCUAACGGAUUAAGCAUUCCGCCUGGGGAGUACGGCCGCAAGGUUAAAACUCAAAGGAAUUGACGGGGGCCCCGCACAAGCGGUGGAGCAUGUGGUUUAAUUCGAAGCAACGCGCAGAACCUUACCAACCCUUGACAUGGGUAUCGCGGGGCCAGAGAUGGUCCUUUCAGUUCGGCUGGAUACCACACAGGUGCUGCAUGGCUGUCGU